Mustela lutreola (European mink) is the source of this 7367-nucleotide long non-coding RNA. RefSeq lists it as uncharacterized. Lineage: Eukaryota; Metazoa; Chordata; Mammalia; Carnivora; Mustelidae. The transcript is spliced from 4 exons. The record is from RefSeq and is a predicted model, not a curated record.
UGAAGUCUUUAGCAGGCCCGCCAGGACUUUGCUACUUCUCCGACCUUGAAGGUCUGGGUCGUCGAGUCCCAGAACAGACUGCUGUUGCUUGCUUGUGCCGUGGCCGUGACCGAGACCUGGUCAGGUGAGUGCGGGGCGGUAGGAAAAGGCAGCUGCGGGGCGGGAGCGAGGGGACCUCCUUGCGGGGACGCGGGACUCCCGGGGAAGGCGCCUCACCGUCGCCCCCUCCCGAGACCCCCCAGCCGCCCCCGGCCCCGCUGGGGUCUGUGCUCCCACUUCUCUCCCCAUCUCCUCCCUGCUCUCCCCCACUCGGUGCCCGCUCCCCCUGCCCUCGUGGCUGCAUCCACCUGAGCCUUGGGCCCGGCGAGGAGGAGGGUCGGGCGGGGUCGCAGCCCCUCCAUGCCCGCAGGCGCCCUCCCGGUGAGGUAUUUCCACACCGGCAUGUCCCGCCCGGCCCCGGGAGCCCCACUCUCCGCCACUGCCCUCCUGUCUCCCGACCCCUACUGCUCUGCAUUUUCCUCCCUCAUCUGCUCCCCUCUCCAUCCCUAUCUGUGUUUCUCUUCCCAGGGAACUGGGGACUCUUAAUGUCUGGUUUAAAUUAAAACUCUGGGGGCACCUGGGUGGCUCAGUGGGUUAAAGCCUCUGCCUUCAGCUCAGGUCAUGAUCCCAGAGUCCUGGGAUCAAGCCCCACAUCGGACUCUCUACUCCGCAGGGAGCCUGCUUCCCUUCCUCUCUCUCUGCCUGUCUCUCUGCCUACUUGUGAUCUCUCUCUCUGUCAAAUAAAUAAAUAAAAUUUAAAACAAAACAAACAAACAAAAAACUCUGGAUGCAGUUUGUUUGCUUCAGUGCUUGCCUGGAGGGGUUGAUGGGUUACUUAAAAAACGGAGGAUUCCUAGUGUUCCGGAGAGGAAAUAAAAGCACUGAGAGCCUGCCAGGUUCUGCAAGUUUGCUGGGCUUCCUCUGGGGGUGGGGAGAAGAGAGGCUGCAAGGAGCCAGCAUGGACUGUGCCCAGCCUGUGCUACUUGCAUCCUGGGCUUUGACAUGGUCACUCCUCUGCUGGGUCAUCAUCACUGCUCCCUUGACCCUGUCCCUUCAGUAGAACCUGUCUGAUGUCCCAUCUGAUGUCCCAUCAGGCCCUGCGGUCACAGGGACUUGGAUCUCCCCUGUCUCCAGGACCUUGUGCAGCAAGAGCUUCCUGUGAGCAGGACAGUCUAGACUCAGAACUGGGUCAGGACUCAGCCCCCAAGUUUUGCCUGUCUUUUCUCCUCCUCCUAGUCCCCCUCCCGUUUUUUUUUUCUUUUUCUUUGGAGGCUUAGGCCAGUUCUUCUCCUGUAAGAGUUCUGGUCUCAUGUCCCUCCGGAUUCAUAGAGUGAUGAAGCAGUGUCUAAUCUGAAUCCACAUUUGUCUGGAAUAUAUGACCCGUAAGACUAUGCACAACUUUGCUGAAGGAAGAACUGUCGUUGUUUCCUGUGCUGUGCAGGAGGGAUGGUGUGGGAAGGAGGACAUGGGGACGUGGAGGAGACACCACUGGUGAGAAAAGUGACAGCUGCCACAAACAGCUGUGGCCUGAGACUCAUCUAGAAGAGAAGUGCUUUUGUGGAUCAUUUCUCCAAGUGAUAAUUGAGCGUCAGACACAGGAACACUACUAUAGCAUCUAGGACACCUCAGUGAAGUAGAAACAGACCAAAUGGGCCCACCUGGUGGGGUGUAUGUGCUGGUAGUGAGGGGCAGACUGUGCUAGUAACUAAGGGAAGUGUGUGUGUUAGAGGUUGGGAAGUGCAGUGAGGGAGGGGACCCAGAGGAGACCUGCAUGGGGACAGGGAAGACGGCUACUUUACUGGGGUGGUACAUGUGAGCCUCACUGAGAACAUGAGCUCUGAGGGGAUUGAAGGACAUGAAGGAAUUUUGUAAGAGGAGGUCUGGGGGUAGUUCUUUCCAGGCAGGGAACCUCUGGUUCACCCUCACUAGGGCAGGGGAAUGUCCUGUGUUCAAAAAAGGGUGAGGAGUGGAAUCACAAGAAAUGUCUUGAUGGAAUCCCAUCUGUGGCAGACUGGCAGAAAUAGAGGGAGACAAGGAUUACCCAGGCAGCACGAUGCAGGAAAGAAACAACAUGGUUGAGUGUAGUGAUGGUGCUGUCCUAGAGAAUUAAAAGGUCUGACAAAUGAGGGGGGAAAUAUUCCGAGAGGACGACCUCUUAGGUUCCACAAAGUUGAGACAGACCUUUCCACAUACAGAAUGAUUCUUUUUUUUUUUUUUAAGAUUUUAUUUAUUUAUUUGACAGAGAGAGAUCACAAGUAGAUAGAGAGGCAGGCAGAGAGAGAGAGAGAGGGAAGCAGGCUCCCUGCCGAGCAGAGAGCCCAAUGCGGGACUCUAUCCCAGGACCCCGAGAUCAUAACCUGAGCUGAAGGCAGCGGCAUAACCCACUGAGCCACCCAGGCACCCCUACAGCAUGAUUCUUGCAGCUAAGACCCUGCUUGGAUAACACAACUCAGCCUGCAGGUCAUCUCCAGCAGGGGACCCAGAGUGAUAACUAUGUUGCUCUGUGACUGUGCAGGGUAACAGCCUGCUCUGAUGAAGCAAGCAGCUGUGUUGGAAAGACCAGAAACUCAGGCCAGCCUGCUGCCUACAUCCAUCAAGAAGCUGAGGCCCCCAGUCCACCAGCCCACAAAGAACUACUCAGUCCUCCCCAGAGGCCCAUGAGGGAACUACUGUCAGGCUACCAGAAAGUGCCACCUUCACGUCACUUCUCACCUUGGAGAGCAGGCCUCACCAGGAAGUCAGCUGGAAGAAGACAGGUCACAGAUAGCAGGAUUGGAUCUAUAGGGAGAAGGACCAGAGGAUUUUUUUCCCACCAAAGAGACCUCCUCGGCAGGAACUCUGGUACUCUCUGGAUUUCUUGCAUACCUGCUCCUGGAACCCUCCUACAGGAGCGGAAGAUGUGACCUUAGCUCGAGAUCCUGGAAUCCAGAGGCAACCAUGUGCAUUGUCCCAGGUGGUGUUGGGGCUCUGGGGUCCAGCAGGUCUCCAGCCUCCCACCUUCUCCUAGCCUGCCCUCCCACCAGCCAGGGAUACCACAUCCCGCCCCCAUCCCCAGGAGCCAGUAGCCUCCAUAUCUGUUUCAUAAUAAAUAGGAACAGAAGUUUCAGUUGAACCCUUGGGGUGAGACAGGUAUAGAUCAGAAUGAGGAGACUAGAUCUCCUUUCCACCUGAGUUCUUGUUCUUCUAGAACACAACUCUAGCAACUAUAGUUCCAUCAAUCUAAACCCCUGCUAAAACAACCCCAGAGAUCAGAGCAUCAAUGAGAACCUGGCCAGGAAGGCCCCCUUGAGGAGCAUGGUGGGCUGGGCAAAUGGAUCAGAGGUGAAAAGGAAAACAGAGAUACCCUGUGCCCUGCUGGAAGUCUCUAGAAAGCUCCUGGGUCCUUGAUAUGAGGCUCCACUGCUCAUCUCUCCUCCACUCCCCCACUGUCUCAUAGUGAUGGGCCCUGGCAUCCUUUCAUGCUGCAUGUGGCACGUGUAUCUCUCAUCUCCAGAAGGCAGCACAAUGGCCAUCCACUUCUGGAUGGUUCCAUCCCCUUCUGCCUGGUCUCCACAAGCUCCUUGUUCUAGACCUGGUGCUCCUUGGCCCACUACAGGUCAUAGUCAUCUCUGUAGGGGAGGAGCCCAGGUUGCACAGCCCCUCAGGGUGACCCCACAGUCAGAGAGAGGGUGGCUGGUCACCUGUGUUCUGGGAGGCUCUGUGGAAGAGCAAACAGGGAGCACUAAGACAAAGCCUUCUGGAAAAGCAUCAACUCCACAGACCAAGAUGUAAUACCUAGGGAGGGUCUGGCUGCUUGCCAGGGAGAGGCAGGGAGUGUUCCCUAUCGGGGCAGAAGUAACCGGCACUAGCCAGGCCCGGGGCCCAAGGCAAGAGGGUGAGAACUGCUUCUAACAUUCUCCUCCAAGGGCCGACCCUUUUCAGAGACUCUCCACCCGCUUAUGAAGCCUGGAACUCAGUAUCUCUAGUUCAGUAUUGAUAGGUCCUCACAGCUACUGUGUCUCUGGUUUGAGGAAGAGCCUGAAGAGUGAGAAACCUCCAUGAGCCUCAGAGCUACUACCGUGCUCUCCCGCAAGAACGUUCCCCAGCGUGGGCCUAAGAAGUGUGUGCCAUGGCACUGCCCAGGGGACUCGGGAUGGGCCGCUGUCCUCAGCGCAUGGCCCCCCAUCCCACACUAGAUGUCUUCCACCUCUGUGUGUGAGUAGCUCUGGAGAGAGGGUGGCCCCAGGCUGGACUAGGAAGAGCUUGUAGGGCUGGGCUGUGGGGAGUCCUUACCAGUGCCGCUGAUGUUCUUGUCCUAAACCCCAAGUGUCUCUGCAGCAAUAGGAACCGCGGCUUCUUGAGUCCAUCUUGUCCCUCAAUGAAGUGCCCACCGGCCUCCUGUCUCUGCUGGGGUAGCAGCAACAAAGAGACUACCAUGGAUGGCAGAGGUUCCAUGUUCAAACUCAGUCACUGUCAUGUCCUGGUCAUCCCGUGCCACCCCAAGGUCCCAUUAUCCUCCUGGAGCUCCAGCCACAGUGACCUGCAAGGUCAGGGUCCUGCCCAGGACCAGGCAGUGUCAGUCAGGACAGAGCACAUCUCCGGAGCCCCAGCAUUUGUCUCUGCAUCCCACCCCCACCAGCUUCUCAGUAGGGAACAUUCACUGUGUAGAUUGUGCUAGUUUGACACAGUAAGAAUGACAUACUUGGUCUUGCUCCUCAGUUCCUGCACAGCUCUUAACACCUCUGUAACAGCCUGAGUGAUGGGAGUCAUAGGAACAGGUCUUCUAAGAGUUUGUUCUCAGAUCCUGAAAAACUGCUGGAAAGAUCCCUGUCCCAUCCUUACACACUGUACCAAACCUCCCCGCAUGCCAUCUCUCUCCUCUGAUGCUAUGAGCCCUGAGAAGGCAGGACUCUGUUGGGACCUGAAACAGAACCAUCUGGCAAACUGGAAUUCACGUUCCUAUAUGGAUCCACUGGGAAAGUCUGAGCAGCCUCCCUCUUCAGCUCUAAUUGUGCUUCUUACUGGAUUAUGCCUGGAUGCCACAUGCAGGGUCCUCCACUGACUGAUUCAUAUGCUAAACCCUCCAGAUAUUAACUAGAAAUGAUUAACUACACCUAUCUCCUGACCUCCCUGUGUCCAAUGUCACCCACACCUUGCCCACUCUAACUGCUUGGGACCUCACCCCCACCCCCCAUAAGCCCAGAUCAUGUGUACAAUCUGUACACAUCAGGGUCUACACAGAGUUGCAGCUCAUUCAUGAACUUUCCCCGACCACUGGGGGUCUGGUCUAUGAACCCUAUAAACUGUGUCUCUGUUUUUCGUGUGACGUCUAUGGAGGCAUCGGUCUUUAGUAGCUCUCAGUCUGCCUCACACACUCAGUCACGUGAUCUCAGAAGGGUGGGCGCCUCCCCAUCUUCACUGUAGGCUCUGUGAGGACAAACACUAGCUUAUACUUUCUGGUUCCUCCCCUACAGGGACCUAAACUGUGUCCAUGACCCACUAAGUCUGUUAGUUAACUACUUAAUGACACAAGGAUCCUACCCCCCUGAGCAGACUGUCCCUGCUUCACUCUCACAUGACAGCUUGUGUGCACCUGCCUGCUCCAGCCUGACAAGAGGAUCUCACACUCCUGGGGGUCAGGGUCAGGCCCCUCUGCUUUCUCCCAGGCCCCAAGCUGCUGGCUGUCCCAGCUGCUCUUUGUCCAGACUGAGCCCCGGGGUUUAGCGGUAGGAUCGCUGCACAUUCCUCAGGUUUGGGGGUUACUUUUCAUCUGGCUCGUGAAGAUCUUGGUCUCGUCAUCCGAAGAACUUGGCUCCUUCAUGCACCACUCGACUCCAAACUGUCUCCCUCUCCUCAGGGUCAUAGUAGAGGAAGGUCCAUGAAGCCCAAGGCAGGAAAUGCAGGACCUCCUAGAGCAGCUCUGACCCCGCUGAGGGGGAAUACUGCUGAGAGCGAGCGCUGUCCUGAGCUGAGCAAGGAAGCCAGGGGAGGGGGAGUUUCGGAGGAGGCUCCAGGAUUAACUGAGUGAGGACCUAGUGAUGCACCUGUGGGGAAAGCAUGUGUAUCUGUGUGUGUGUGUGUGUGUGUGUGUGUGUGUAUGCCCACACACACGUGUGUUGUGUGACAGGAGAGACAGGGCACACAACAUAACACAAUGGGAGACAAUGACACAACAAACCUCCCUGUCCCUCACCCCCUGUGACAGUCAUAUUCCAAUCCCACACCCAUGGUGUCCCCAUAAAAUGCACAGAUUGUGUGUGAUUUCCUGCAAUGCAAACACUCUUUGGCAUAUCCAGAUUAAAACAAACAAACAAACAAAACCUGUGCUACUUUUAUCAAAACUCACUGGUGUCUUGCUCUUCCCAGCCGUGUAAAGAUGACAUGCAGAUCACACCCCAUAGCUGUGUGAGAACUGAACAUUUGAACCCAUGCUGUCCGCGCUAAGUAUGCAACAGAAAUCAUCGGCCAUUGCCAAAAAGAACCGUUUGAAGAACAGUAUAAAUGAGCUGCAGGCAGGAACGUCCUGGGAACAGUAGAACUUUCUGUAAUAGUAAUGAUGGGUGUUAAGUUCAGCAAACAUGGAAAUGGUGUCAUCAGAAGCUCCUGCUGUCCUCUGAGCUGUGAAGCCAAGCAUCAAAUGUUUACACAGUGCACUUUCUGUUCACAGGAUUCUCUUGUUCACAGGCAUUACUCCUCCAGUAAAUGAUCAUCUGAGAUGGUUGCCAGAGAGGAGGGGUGGGGUCUUGGAACAUGCGGGAGGGGCAGUGGGGACACAGUCUUCCAGUUCCAGAAUGAAUAAGUGACGGAAAUAAAAGUCACAGCACGAGGAAGACAGAUGAUGAUACUGUCAUAGGGCUGCAUCGGGCAAAUGCGAGCUACACCUGUGAGGAAUAGAGUGUAACAUAUGAACUUGUCACAUCAUUACUUUGUACCCCUGAGACUAAUGGAAUAUUAUGUGUCAACUAUACCCCCAAUUUAAAUACUCUUAAAAAUUAUUUUCUUGGGGCGCCUGGGUGUUUCGGUGGGUUAAAGCCUCUGCCUUCAGCUCACGUCAUGAUCCCAGGGUCCUGGGAUUGAGUCCCAAGUCAGGCUUUCUGCUCAGUGGGGACACUGUUCCUCUUCUCUCUCUGCCUGCCUCUCUGCCUACUUGUGAUCUCCAUCUGUCAAAUAAAUAAAUAAAAUCUUUUUAAAAAAUUAUCUUCCCUACAAUUUCAUCUGUUUUAACAUUUUACAUUAAAUGAAUAUACACAGCGAAUUCUAAUAUUGGAUAUGAUAAUUGAUUAAAUGUAUAAUGUAUAUUUAACUUACACAAAGUAAGCUGCAAACAAUUAAAAAUAUAAAUAACUAAA